GCCUGGCUGGCUCAGUUGGAAGAGCGUGUGACUCUUGAUCUCAGGGUUGUGAGUUCAAGCCCCACAGUGGGUG
This 73-nucleotide transfer RNA is filed under the name Canis lupus dingo (dingo). It matches the Rfam family "tRNA". From Rfam's summary of the family: Transfer RNA (tRNA) molecules are approximately 80 nucleotides in length. Lineage: Eukaryota; Metazoa; Chordata; Mammalia; Carnivora; Canidae. The record is from Rfam by way of RNAcentral.